UGGACUUGACAUCCUAUAAAUGAUUUAGAGAUAAGUUAGUGCUAGUUUACUAGAAUAUAGUGACAGGUGCUGCACGGCUGUCGUCAGCUCGUGUCGUGAGAUGUUGGGUUAAGUCCCGCAACGAGCGCAACCCUCGUCGUUAGUUGCUAACAGUUCGGCUGAGCACUCUAACGAGACUGCCUUCGUAAGGAGGAGGAAGGUGAGGACGACGUCAAGUCAUCAUGGCCCUUAUGUCCAGGGCUACACACGUGCUACAAUGGUUGGGACAAUGAGACGCAAUACCGCGAGGUGGAGCAAAUCUAUAAACCCAAUCUCAGUUCGGAUAGCACUCUGCAACUCGAGUGCUUGAAGCUGGAAUCGCUAGUAAUCGUAGAUCAGCAAUGCUACGGUGAAUACGUUCCCGGGUCU
Molecule: ribosomal RNA, 408 nt
Filed under: uncultured bacterium
Lineage: Bacteria
Description: bacterial SSU rRNA
Rfam family: Bacterial small subunit ribosomal RNA
Source: RNAcentral